CCUACGGGAGGCAGCAGUGAGGAAUAUUGGUCAAUGGGCGAGAGCCUGAACCAGCCAAGUAGCGUGCAGGAUGACGGCCCUAUGGGUUGUAAACUGCUUUUAUAAGGGAAUAAAGUGAGUCUCGUGAGGCUUUUUGCAUGUACCUUAUGAAUAAGGACCGACUAAUUCCGUGC
This 173-nucleotide ribosomal RNA is filed under the name uncultured bacterium. RNAcentral's name for it is "partial 16S ribosomal RNA". It matches the Rfam family "Bacterial small subunit ribosomal RNA", at positions 338 to 508 of the family's 1533-position model. The record is from RNAcentral.